Brachypodium distachyon (stiff brome) is the source of this 136-nucleotide non-coding RNA. The record is from Rfam. NCBI's taxonomy places the organism in Eukaryota, Viridiplantae, Streptophyta, Magnoliopsida, Poales, Poaceae.
GUGCUACUCGCUCCGUCUAACAAAAAAUGUCUCAAGUUUGUCAAAAUUUGGAUGUAUCUAGAUGUGACUUAGUGUAUAGAUGCAUUCAAAUUUAGUCAAAGUUGAGACAUCCUUUGUUGGACGGAACGAGUACUUG